GAUGAACGCUGGCGGCGUGCCUAAUACAUGCAAGUCGAGCGAACAGACGAGGAGCUUGCUCCUCUGACGUUAGCGGCGGACGGGUGAGUAACACGUGGAUAACCUACCUAUAAGACUGGGAUAACUUCGGAAAACCGGAGCUAAUACGGGAUAAUAUAUUGAACCGCAUGGUUCAUUAGUGAAAGAGGGUUUUGCUGUAACUAAUAGAUGGACCCGCCCGACAUUAGCAAGUGGGUAAGGUAACGGCUUACCAAGGCAACGAUGCGUAGCCGCCCUGAGGGGGUGAUCGGCCACACUGGAACUGAGACACGGGCCAGCCUCCUAGGGGGGGCAGGAGGAGGGAAUCUUCCGCAAGGGGCGAAAGCUUGACGGAGCAACGCCGCGGGAGGGAUGAAGGUCUUCGGAUCGUAAAACUUUUUUAUUAGGGAAAAACAAAUGUGUAAGUAACUAUGCACGUCUUGACGGUACCAAAGCAGAAAGCCACGGCUAACUACGU
This 496-nucleotide ribosomal RNA is filed under the name uncultured bacterium. Its description in RNAcentral is "partial 16S ribosomal RNA". It matches the Rfam family "Bacterial small subunit ribosomal RNA", at positions 28 to 506 of the family's 1533-position model. The record is from RNAcentral.